UACGUAGGGUGCGAGCGUUGUCCGGAAGUUACUGGGACGUAAAGAGCUCGUAGGUGGUUUGGAUCGCGUUGUUCGGUGAAAAACCUCACAGCUUAACUGUGGGGCGGUGCGGGCGAUGACGGGCAGACUUGAGUACUGCAGGGGACGGAUGGAAUUCCUGGUGUAGCGGUGGAAUGCGCAGAUAUCAGGAGGAACACCGGUGGGCGAAGGCGGGGUCUCUGGGCAGUAACUGACGCUGAGGAGCGAAAGGCGUGGGGGAGCGAACAGG
Molecule: ribosomal RNA, 268 nt
Filed under: uncultured bacterium
Lineage: Bacteria
Description: partial 16S ribosomal RNA
Rfam family: Bacterial small subunit ribosomal RNA
Source: RNAcentral